Molecule: ribosomal RNA, 561 nt
Filed under: Triticum aestivum (bread wheat)
Lineage: Eukaryota; Viridiplantae; Streptophyta; Magnoliopsida; Poales; Poaceae
Description: partial small subunit ribosomal RNA
Source: RNAcentral
AUGAAGUACCUCCGUGAGCUGAAGGAGUGCAAACCAUAUCAGCCGCCACGACAAGCAGCAGCAACACCAACUAGAAGAAGUACACGGUGGAUCCCCCCGGCUCCUGGGGUAGCAAAGAUAAGAGUUGAUGGUGCGGUAUCCAGAGAUCUUAACGACAGAACUGUCAGAGCGGUGUGCAGAAAUUCAGAAGGUACGUUUCUGGGAGCCUCUUGCAUGAAAUUUUGUGGUCUGACUGAUCCAGCAACUCUGGAAGCGGUGGCAUGCCGUGAGGCACUAGCGCUGGCUGCUGAUCUCUAUUUGGAUAAUGUGGUGAUCGCUUCCGAUUGCCAAGGCGUUGUUCGAGAUAUCCAGGAUGGAACAGGAGGAUCGUAUGCUACUAUAGUUAAGGAGAUUAAUGAGACUGUUACCGUUUUUCAGCAGUGUUCCUUCAUCUUUGAAGGGAGAGAAACAAAUGUCGAGGCACAUAACCUUGCUAAGCAUGCUUUUGGUCUUGGGUCCGGGCGCCACCUGUGGCUUUUAAACCCGCCAGACAUCGAUUGUAUCCCUAUGAUUAUUGAGUGA